RNAcentral lists this long non-coding RNA (584 nucleotides) under Phasianus colchicus (ring-necked pheasant). RNAcentral describes it as "lncRNA (ENSPCLG00000001545.1)". The record is from RNAcentral. Lineage: Eukaryota; Metazoa; Chordata; Aves; Galliformes; Phasianidae.
AUGAUAAUGCUGGAGAUCUACAGAGCAGGCAAGCAGCGUUGGAUUGUUGCAGUGAAUUCCUGCCUUAAGAUUGGCUUCAUCUCAAGGACAAGAGAAGACGACCUCAAGAUGUCUAAGUGGUUGAAGUCAGCUCAGGGAAGGAUCUGGCCCAGUCUAACUUUGGUAGCAAGGAGCCACCUGUGCCCUGUUGGAGGAGCUUGUCUUUGGGCAGCUGGCUCUGCAGCAGGGGUGGUAGUUACAAGAAGCCUGCACUCUUGUGAGAGGGAAAUGUCUGUGCUUAUAGCUGACAGUGCUUGCAAGACUGCUCUCACUGUACCUGGAGGGUAGAUGUUGACAACAGCUUUGCUCCACUAAGACUACAUGUCUGCAAAGAGACCAAAUGGAUGUGUGUCCCUGGCUUGGGUCUAAGUGAGACCUCCAGAAAUACUGACAUAUGCUUUGGUAUUGACUCCUGGCGUAUCUUUUGGCUGCAUCUGAAGGUACAGCUCAGCUGGGUCCCUGGAGCUCAUCAGCUCCAAGCCAACACCAAAAACAUACCUUGCUUCCAAGGGCAAUUUUGUGGCUGUAGCAAUGCUUUGUUCCUG